Non-coding RNA from Prunus avium (sweet cherry), 296 nucleotides. The record is from RefSeq and is a predicted model, not a curated record. Lineage: Eukaryota; Viridiplantae; Streptophyta; Magnoliopsida; Rosales; Rosaceae.
UCGAUUUACACCCGUUUCUUGUCUCACUCACCCCCUAUAUCUCUCUGUCUGUUUCUCUCUCGAUCUCACCUUCUCUGUCGACUCGACCUCAGCUGCUCACCAAAUCGACGACGACGGCUACGGCGUCGUCUUCGUCGUCUCUAGCCUCUAAUUCAAUUGAUUUUAAAAGGUUAUUCUCAGCGGGUUUCGAUUAAUAGGCAAAAAUACAGCUCCCUUAACCGAUACAAGUGAAUCUGAUUUGAUCAAGGUCUAAAAUAUCGGUGAUAUCGGAAAUAUCGGUCAGCCAAAAACACGGA